GGGCAUCCACAUUUCUUGGACGCACUUUGGGUUCCACUAUCAGUACUCUUGUGUUUCCCACCUUUAUCACAACCAAAUAUUAAUUUGUUACUUCUCCUUGUCUUCCCUGUUUCAGUAUCUGAACGAAUGAUAAUAACAAUUACUUUAUUAUUGAUUCCUACCUCUUUAAUCCAUCUGAUCACAUCUUCUCCUGUACCAAAUCUUUCCAUCGUUAUAAACCCAUCAGAAGUAUCUACACAUAUUUGGGGAAGAUUUUCCAUUCCUGCAUAAUAAAAAAGUUUUAAAAAAAAAUUUU
Molecule: long non-coding RNA, 295 nt
Filed under: Lathyrus oleraceus (garden pea)
Lineage: Eukaryota; Viridiplantae; Streptophyta; Magnoliopsida; Fabales; Fabaceae
Description: Pisum sativum (pea) long non-coding RNA (PSAT_LNC032746)
Source: RNAcentral